CGUGUAGGCGGUAUGGUAAGUCAGAUGUGAAAGCCCUGGGCUUAACCCAGGAAGUGCAUUUGAUACUGCCAUUCUUGAGUAUGGGAGAGGAGAGUGGAAUUCCCAGUGUAGAGGUGAAAUUCGUAGAUAUUGGGAGGAACACCCGUGGCGAAGGCGACUCUCUGGACCAAUACUGACGCUGAGACGCGAAAGCGUGGGGAGCAAACA
RNAcentral lists this ribosomal RNA (207 nucleotides) under uncultured bacterium. RNAcentral's name for it is "partial 16S ribosomal RNA". It matches the Rfam family "Bacterial small subunit ribosomal RNA", at positions 568 to 774 of the family's 1533-position model. The record is from RNAcentral.